Molecule: ribosomal RNA, 511 nt
Filed under: uncultured bacterium
Lineage: Bacteria
Description: partial 16S ribosomal RNA
Rfam family: Bacterial small subunit ribosomal RNA
Source: RNAcentral
GAUGAACGCUGGCGGCGUGCCUAAUACAUGCAAGUCGAACGAAACUUCUUUAUCACCGAGUGCUUGCACUCACCGAUAAAGAGUUGAGUGGCGAACGGGUGAGUAACACGUGGGCAGCCUGCCCAAAAGAGGGGGAUAACACUUGGAAACAGGUGCUAAUAACGCAUAACCAUAGUUACCGCAUGGUAACUAUGUAAAAGGUGGCUAUACUACCGCUUUUGGAUGGGCCCGCGGCGCAUUAGCUAGUUGGUAGGGUAAAGGCUUACCAAGGCAAUGAUGCGUAGCCGAAUUGAGAGGUUGAUCGGCCACAUUGGGACUGAGACACGGCCCAAACUCCUACGGGAGGCAGCAGUAGGGAAUCUUCCACAAUGGGCGAAAGCCUGAUGGAGCAACGCCGCGUGGGUGAAGAAGGUCUUCGGAUCGUAAAACCCUGUUGUUAGAGAAGAAAGUGCGUGAGAGUAACUGUUCACGUUUCGACGGUAUCUAACCAGAAAGCCACGGCUAACUACGU